GGUGUAUGGUUUGGNACGUGUGGUUGGCUGCGGCAUUUGCAACAACUUGCAUGCUUUCAGACCUCUUCAGUUGUGCGGCAAGGCUUGUAUCGCCUUGAGCGUAAUGUGGGUUUUCUGUGCUGGCUACCUAAUCAAUGGUAUCGGUUGGAUUGAUCAAAGUUUGAUUUCGUCUUCCGUCGCAUUCGUGGCGUGAGGCGAACCUCGACGCGGUCUCUUUGAUCCACCUCGUUGAAGCACGUGCUUCGACGUUGUGGCACAUUGAGCAUUGCUUGGUCUCUUGUAUACGGAACAUAUAGUGGGCAUGGAUCUAACGAUCCUCGUUUGCCCUCAUAUUAGCGUAACGCUUCUCUAACACGACUUGCGCCAUGUUUUAGCUCGUAC
This 381-nucleotide unclassified non-coding RNA is filed under the name Artemisia splendens. RNAcentral's name for it is "partial external transcribed spacer". Lineage: Eukaryota; Viridiplantae; Streptophyta; Magnoliopsida; Asterales; Asteraceae. The record is from RNAcentral.